AUUGAACGCUGGCGGCAGGCCUAACACAUGCAAGUCGAGCGGAGCGGCGGACGGGAGAGGAAUGCUUAGGAAUCUGCCUGGUGGUGGGGGAUAACGUCCGGAAACGGGCGCUAAUACCGCAUACUAUCAGAUGAGCCUAGGUCGGAUUAGCUAGUUGGUGGGGAAAAGGCCUACCAAGGCGACGAUCCGUAACUGGUCUGAGAGGAUGAUCAGUCACACUGGAACUGAGACAGGGUCCAGACUCCUACGGAAGGAGGCAGUGGGGAAUAUUGGACAAGGGGCGAAGGCCUGAGCCAGCCAUGCCGCGGAGGUGAAGAAGGCUUUCGGAUUGUAAAGCACUUUAAGUUGGGAGGCGUUACCAACAGAAUAAGCACCGGCUAACUUCGUGCCAGCAGCCGCGGUAAUAC
RNAcentral lists this ribosomal RNA (407 nucleotides) under uncultured bacterium. Its description in RNAcentral is "partial 16S ribosomal RNA". It matches the Rfam family "Bacterial small subunit ribosomal RNA", at positions 29 to 526 of the family's 1533-position model. The record is from RNAcentral.